AAUGUAGUCGAGAUAUAGUGAGGUCACCACCUAGGAUGAAAAGAAAAACGAAGGCUGUGAGGAAAAAGAAAGAGGCAGUAGUUAAAAACGUUGAUGAAGAGGAAGAAGAAGAACAAUACAAUGCUGAAAAUCCGACAGAGUCCCCUAAUGAAAAGGAAGUAUCUGCGAAAAUGAAGAAUACUAAAUCUUCUGCUAAAAAUGUUUCAAGUUCUGAUAAAAUGUCUGACUCUACUGAUGAAGAAGAAGUACGUAAAAAGAAAA
Molecule: long non-coding RNA, 261 nt
Filed under: Zostera marina
Lineage: Eukaryota; Viridiplantae; Streptophyta; Magnoliopsida; Alismatales; Zosteraceae
Description: long non-coding RNA (ZMAR_LNC004380)
Source: RNAcentral